UGUCUAUUCUUUGUUCUCUAUUGUGAAUGUGCUAACAGAAACUACCCACCAGAUAUGGUGAUUCUAAAGUUUUACUUUAAUUCUCAAACCAAGCAGGGAGUGGGAAAAGCUGCCUGCUUUGUAAAGAAAAUCUGAAAUACAGCCAUGUUCAUUCUUUUACAUACUAUCCAGCUUACAGCUGCUUUCAUGUUAUAACAUCAGAGUUGAGUAGCUGCAAUGGAGACUGGAUCUGCAAAGAUCAAUAUAUUUAGUUCUUGCCCUUUAGAGAAAAAAUGUGUUGAGCCUUGCUUUAAUCCAUUGGCAAGCAAACUUUUAAGCAAAUAAAAUGUUUAAAACAUAAUUUUUAAAAGUAAUUUUUGUAUUACAAAAAGUUAAGGCAAAAUGGGUAGAAGUCUUAGGUGAUUGACAUGUUUUAAAAUCCCAUUAAAAAACAAAUUCAGAAAAAUCAUAAAAGUUACUGUCCUCUAAGGGACGAAGCUUUUACUUUGUAGAACAGUGGCUUCCAACUGGGGGAAAUUUUGUCCCCCAGUGGAUAUUUGGAAAUAUUUGCAGACAUUUCACUGUUGUCACAACUAGGGGUCAGGCAGCUACUGGCACCUAGCAGGUAGAGGCCAUGGAUUCUGCUAAAUAGCCUGCAAUGCACAAAGCCUCCCCCAACAAUGAAUUAUUCAGCCUCAAAUGUUAAUAGUGCUGAAGGCGAGAUGGAGGGACACGGUGUAAAACAAGCUGUGUACAUAAUUAAACAGCUCCUUUGGGAUUUGUGAUGGUAUCUAGUGUGGCUUUCAAAACCUUUGACGUGCUGACCUGGCUCUCCAAGGAGAGUCCAAAACACUCAAGUAAGUCAGCCUUCUACUUAUGACUGACUGACAAGUGUAAAAAGCAUAUGGCUGUUUUCCACAAUAAUACAGAUGUUUUUGUUGUCCCUACAUUCCCUCUUCCCAGGGUACAAAUAGUUACACCUUCCCAGGUUCCCCCAUCUCUGCCUGCACCAGAGGCACUGAAACUGCAUCAGGUCAUUAGCCCCUAAAUGCUGCCCCGUGGCUGAAAAUGUCCAGAUAAUGUCCACGUGCUUCUGCCAGCCAUUGCUAGCCAGCAUUUCCCUAAUCAUCACCAUUACAGGCUU
Molecule: long non-coding RNA, 1123 nt
Filed under: Homo sapiens (human)
Lineage: Eukaryota; Metazoa; Chordata; Mammalia; Primates; Hominidae
Description: HSALNT0180726
Source: RNAcentral